Molecule: long non-coding RNA, 649 nt
Filed under: Felis catus (domestic cat)
Lineage: Eukaryota; Metazoa; Chordata; Mammalia; Carnivora; Felidae
Description: lncRNA (ENSFCAG00000053763.1)
Source: RNAcentral
AUGUCAUCAGUUUCCCUUUAUCUUGAUUACAUGUCCAGGAACACUGACAUUCUAACAACAAAAUGGACAACUCCAGUGGACCAAAAUAAGUUGACUAUACCCGAAAUGAUGGAAGAAACGGCGCAAACAUUAACCCUGAAGGGAGAAGGAAGAGAAGAGUCAUAUGUCUUUUGGCUUCAUUAUGGUGACAAAGACAGUUCUGGACGCCUUGCCCAUGCUUGGUACCUGCUAACCUAUUGACUCGAAUACAUGCGGUCUAUAUACACGGGCUCUCCUUUGCUUAUACAACCCAAAGUGAGUUGACUUUGAGGCCAGAAGCCAUAGACUUGAAAGGUAAAGUCAGAGACAAAUGAGGCUGAAGCUGUAAGGACAAAGGAAAUUAGGGGACCCUUGCUUACCUCAGAUACAGAGCAGGUAUGUGUUAGAAAUGUUUGUGCUUACUAAUUAAAUACAUUUCAUUUCCUCUUACAUCUUUUUUGCUUAACUAAGGAGAAAAUGUGCAUUAUUUAUAGGAACUAAACAUAAUGAAAACACAAAGAAAAGGAACCAUUUUGAUUCAAAUCUUGGCAAAUAUCCAACUUGCAAUAACUUGAAGAUUUAAUAUUAUUACGUGCACACACACACAAAAAUAAAGCCUAAUGCUCAUCCA